UUCAUUGAGCUUACUCCUAUUUUGCACCGAUACAAGUGUCACGAGAGAGAGAGAGAGAGAGAGAGAGAGAGUCCAGAGAGAGAGAGAGUCCGUUAAUUUCUGUUAAUAAUACUAAUAAUUAGUACUGUAUAAGAAAGAGCGAGAGAGGGGCAACAACAAUGGUGUCCGACCAGGACAUAGUCCAGGCCAUAGACUCGCUCCUUCGCGAAACGAACCCUGUAACCACCUUAACCUCCCUAAACGGCGUCGUCCACCAGCUGGAAUCCAAUCUGGGGUUGGACCUCACCCACAAGCUCGACUUCAUCCGCAACCAGAUCCACCUCCUCCUCCUCCAAUCUCCGCCGCAACCACCCCAUUUCCACCACCCUCAAAAAGACCACUUUGCCCUCCACCAAAACCCUAACUUCCACGCCACUCCUUCUCAACUACCUCUUAAUUACACCGUUAGAGGUGUGGAUGCUUCCGCCGCCGCCGUUGGUACCCCUGCUGAAUCGCCCGAAAAGAGUACCCAAACUGGUAGAAAAAGAAGAGGUGGCCCGGGGGGACUAAACAAGAUAUGUGGGGUUUCACCUGAACUUCAGGUCAUCGUUGGGUUGCCUGCACUACCUAGGACUGAGAUUGUGAAGCAGCUGUGGGCUUACAUAAGGAAACACAAUCUUCAAGAUCCAAGUAACAAAAGGAAGAUAAUUUGUAAUGAUGAGCUGCGUUUGGUGUUUGAGACAGAUUGUACUGACAUGUUCAAAAUGAACAAGUUGCUAUCUAAGCAUAUCAUCUCUCUUGAACCUACAAAACCGGUACGUCAAAAUUCCAAGAAACCGAAAGUUGAAGUGGAAUCGGUGACACACAGUGCCGAAUCUGGUCCUAUUGUGGUAAUCUCUGAAGCACUGGCAAUUUUUUUUGGUACUGGUGAAAGGGAGAUGCUGAAGUCAGAGGUCUUAAGACGUGUUUGGGAGUACAUAAAAUACAACCAACUCGAGGAUCCUACAAAACCUACGGUGAUUUCAUGUGACACAAAGCUUCAAGAGCUUUUUGGAUGUGCAAGAAUUUCUGGAGUAGGGAUAUCUGAGAUGUUGGCACGCCAUCAUCUGUUUGAGAAACGAUGACGAGAGAUCGUGCUGAGCGGUUUUGCAUCACUUGAAGUUGAGAAACUUGACGCAUAUUAGGUUUAGCCUUAUUGGAGUCUGGCAACUAUGGAUGGCUAGCUCGAUACAGAUGCAUCAGGAAUACUAGAUGUGGGGGCUUACCAGUGAAAAAUGUUCAAACCUUGCCCUAUACAGUAGUGUUUGGACCUACACAUUAGAUAUGCCAAUUGUUCUACUUUGCAACAAGUCUAAUCCUGUAAGUGGAUUUUAUUGCUUGGGAUACAUACAGUUGCUGUCUUUCAGUUGUAGGGGGGCUGUGCAGGAAUAAUUGCCAGUCUUGUAUGGAUUGAGCUUUUUAGGCAUGCUUGAAUGGAAGUCAAUAACGCAUUUGAAGAAUUGAAGCAGAGACUUAAUUUUCAUUGUUAAUGUCUCAUGUUGUUAACCAUUAUGCUAGUAUUGAAACUGAAAUACGUGGUGCUAAUCUAACCUACUGCUUCCGACAUAGCAAAUACUAACUGGAGAGUUGUCAUUGGCCUAUAUGAAGAUGUUUUUAUACUGUACUCUAUUUAAGUUGGGAUUGUUUUGAAAAUGUAAGGUGCUAAGGGUCAGUUGUUAUGUAGCAGGCAGCACAGUCUUCUUGUGAUUGUUUUGAAAAUGUAAGGUGCUAAGGGUCAGUUGUUAUGUAGCAGGCGCCACAGUAAGACGUCGAUACACUAUACUGUUUUGAGUGCAUCUUAAUGGAAGGGACAUUUCUGUUGGAAUUUUUAACAUAAA
Rhododendron vialii is the source of this 1856-nucleotide RNA transcript. RefSeq lists it as uncharacterized. Lineage: Eukaryota; Viridiplantae; Streptophyta; Magnoliopsida; Ericales; Ericaceae. The record is from RefSeq and is a predicted model, not a curated record. The transcript is spliced from 8 exons.